UUAAAAUACCUCACUUUUUAAUUGACAACAAAAGUCUGUGCCUCUUUUUGUUACUGAUACUGAGGAAGUAGAAGAGUUCUUGUGUCCUAAAUCUACAAGAAGCUGUGCAAUUCAUCUUUGCCCCUCUGCGGGGUCUGAAGCUGAGCUCUGACCUAGCCUUCUCCUUUGCAGAGUUUUGCAAUAGAAGUAGAUGCGGAACAGCUAGACUCUGGAAGAGGAAAUUCUCCUGUCACUAGCGAGCUCUGAGAGACUCUGGGUCCUCCUACAAGCUCCUACUGGGUCCCUUGAAGUUGGUUUACGCUUUUAGACAUAUCUAGUUAUGUUGCAAAGAGGAAAUGGCUCUUUACCCUUAACAAUCCAUGCAGAUAAGGAUCGCUAGCUGCCAGAGAACCUGUUUUUCUGAGUAGUGAUGUAAAGCCAGCAGGACUGGUGACAAGGGCUUGCCUUUCCUAGGCAGGAUUCAUCCCAGCAGAGUGUGGUGCACAGCAGUCAACAGCUCAGACAUUGCUGCAGCAGAAUAACCACGAAUCUGGGGUACUUCCCAGCCUGGGAGUCCUUACACCAGCUGGGUGUAGCAUGUUCCUGCCACCUCACGUCUGUAGCCAGCAGCAGUACCAAGGGUUCAGCAAGCUGCGUGCCCUCAUCCUUACGUAUC
This 655-nucleotide long non-coding RNA is filed under the name Anas platyrhynchos platyrhynchos (common mallard). Its description in RNAcentral is "lncRNA (ENSAPLG00000020081.1)". Lineage: Eukaryota; Metazoa; Chordata; Aves; Anseriformes; Anatidae. The record is from RNAcentral.